UACGUAGGUGGCAAGCGUUAUCCGGAUUUAUUGGGCGUAAAGGGAACGCAGGCGGUCUUUUAAGUCUGAUGUGAAAGCCUUCGGCUUAACCGGAGUAGUGCAUUGGAAACUGGGAGACUUGAGUGCAGAAGAGGAGAGUGGAACUCCAUGUGUAGAGGUGAAAUGCGUAGAUAUAUGGAAGAACACCAGUGGCGAAAGCGGCUCUCUGGUCUGUAACUGACGCUGAGGUUCGAAAGCGUGGGUAGCAAACAGG
RNAcentral lists this ribosomal RNA (253 nucleotides) under uncultured bacterium. RNAcentral's name for it is "partial 16S ribosomal RNA". It matches the Rfam family "Bacterial small subunit ribosomal RNA", at positions 524 to 776 of the family's 1533-position model. The record is from RNAcentral.